UGAGGAACAUGACCUUCGGCGGGGGAUAGCCGGCCCAACGGCCGGGUAAUACCGCGUACGACCACUCGGGGACAUCCCUAGGUGGUGAAAGCAGCAAUGCGCCGAUGGAGUGCCUCGCGGCCUAUCAGCUAGUUGGUGAGGUAACGGCUCACCAAGGCGACGACGGGUAGCUGGUCUGAGAGGAUGGCCAGCCACAGUUGGGACUGAGACACGGCCCAGACUCCGUACGGGAGCAG
This 236-nucleotide ribosomal RNA is filed under the name uncultured bacterium. Its description in RNAcentral is "partial 16S ribosomal RNA". It matches the Rfam family "Bacterial small subunit ribosomal RNA", at positions 118 to 347 of the family's 1533-position model. The record is from RNAcentral.